This 1051-nucleotide ribosomal RNA is filed under the name Streptomyces sp. LK1122.2. RNAcentral's name for it is "partial 16S ribosomal RNA". It matches the Rfam family "Bacterial small subunit ribosomal RNA". Lineage: Bacteria; Bacillati; Actinomycetota; Actinomycetes; Kitasatosporales; Streptomycetaceae. The record is from RNAcentral.
GACGAACGCUGGCGGCGUGCUUAACACAUGCAAGUCGAACGAUGAAGCCCUUCGGGGUGGAUUAGUGGCGAACGGGUGAGUAACACGUGGGCAAUCUGCCCUUCACUCUGGGACAAGCCCUGGAAACGGGGUCUAAUACCGGAUAACACCUGCCCGGGCAUCUGGGUGGGUUAAAAGCUCCGGCGGUGAAGGAUGAGCCCGCGGCCUAUCAGCUUGUUGGUGAGGUAGUGGCUCACCAAGGCGACGACGGGUAGCCGGCCUGAGAGGGCGACCGGCCACACUGGGACUGAGACACGGCCCAGACUCCUACGGGAGGCAGCAGUGGGGAAUAUUGCACAAUGGGCGAAAGCCUGAUGCAGCGACGCCGCGUGAGGGAUGACGGCCUUCGGGUUGUAAACCUCUUUCAGCAGGGAAGAAGCGAAAGUGACGGUACCUGCAGAAGAAGCGCCGGCUAACUACGUGCCAGCAGCCGCGGUAAUACGUAGGGCGCAAGCGUUGUCCGGAAUUAUUGGGCGUAAAGAGCUCGUAGGCGGCUUGUCACGUCGGGUGUGAAAGCCCGGGGCUUAACCCCGGGUCUGCAUUCGAUACGGGCUAGCUAGAGUGUGGUAGGGGAGAUCGGAAUUCCUGGUGUAGCGGUGAAAUGCGCAGAUAUCAGGAGGAACACCGGUGGCGAAGGCGGAUCUCUGGGCCCAUUACUGACGCUGAGGAGCGAAAGCGUGGGGAGCGAACAGGAUUAGAUACCCUGGUAGUCCACGCCGUAAACGGUGGGAACUAGGUGUUGGCGACAUUCACGUNGUCGGUNCNNANCUACGCNUAAUUNCCCCCUGGGGAUNCGGCNCAGGCUAAAUCAANGAUUGACGGGGCCCCCCAACACNGACNUUGGUUUNUUNACCACNNAAACUACAGGUGNUACCGAACGCAAAUGNCCCCUUGGCGUNAGGGGCUGGNCCACUNUCNAAUGGUAUCCAACCCCUNUUUUCCUCCUNGGUGGCNANACCGGAUGNAGGGNAAANUCCUUUGUCCUAGGGNANGACGGGAUAAUUUUNGUNCC